Molecule: ribosomal RNA, 730 nt
Filed under: Paenarthrobacter aurescens
Lineage: Bacteria; Bacillati; Actinomycetota; Actinomycetes; Micrococcales; Micrococcaceae
Description: bacterial SSU rRNA
Rfam family: Bacterial small subunit ribosomal RNA
Source: RNAcentral
UGCAGUCGAACGAUGAUCCCAGCUUGCUGGGGGAUUAGUGGCGAACGGGUGAGUAACACGUGAGUAACCUGCCCUUGACUCUGGGAUAAGCCUGGGAAACUGGGUCUAAUACCGGAUACGACCAUUCCACGCAUGUGGUGGUGGUGGAAAGCUUUUGUGGUUUUGGAUGGACUCGCGGCCUAUCAGCUUGUUGGUGGGGUAAUGGCCUACCAAGGCGACGACGGGUAGCCGGCCUGAGAGGGUGACCGGCCACACUGGGACUGAGACACGGCCCAGACUCCUACGGGAGGCAGCAGUGGGGAAUAUUGCACAAUGGGCGCAAGCCUGAUGCAGCGACGCCGCGUGAGGGAUGACGGCCUUCGGGUUGUAAACCUCUUUCAGUAGGGAAGAAGCGAAAGUGACGGUACCUGCAGAAGAAGCGCCGGCUAACUACGUGCCAGCAGCCGCGGUAAUACGUAGGGCGCAAGCGUUAUCCGGAAUUAUUGGGCGUAAAGAGCUCGUAGGCGGUUUGUCGCGUCUGCUGUGAAAGACCGGGGCUCAACUCCGGUUCUGCAGUGGGUACGGGCAGACUAGAGUGCAGUAGGGGAGACUGGAAUUCCUGGUGUAGCGGUGAAAUGCGCAGAUAUCAGGAGGAACACCGAUGGCGAAGGCAGGUCUCUGGGCUGUAACUGACGCUGAGGAGCGAAAGCAUGGGGAGCGAACAGGAUUAGAUACCCUGGUAGUCCAUGCC